AUGAAGAUGCCCAAAGCUAGACCCCAACCUGAAACUGAGUGCUUCUACUACAAAGGAAAUGGUCACUGGAAGUGGAACUGCCCUGGAUACUUGGAGGAUAAGAAGGAUGGCAAAGUGAACAAAGGUAUAUUUGAUAUACAU
RNAcentral lists this ribosomal RNA (141 nucleotides) under Triticum aestivum (bread wheat). Its description in RNAcentral is "partial small subunit ribosomal RNA". The record is from RNAcentral. Lineage: Eukaryota; Viridiplantae; Streptophyta; Magnoliopsida; Poales; Poaceae.